GAUGAACGCUGGCGGUAUGCUUAACACAUGCAAGUCGAACGGACUCUUCGGAGUUAGUGGCGGACGGGUGAGUAACGCGUGAGAAUCUGGCUUUGGGUUCGGGACAACCACUGGAAACGGUGGCUAAUACCGGAUGUGCCGAGAGGUAAAAGAGAAAUUGCCUGAAGAUGAGCUCGCGUCUGAUUAGCUAGUUGGUGAGGUAAAGGCUCACCAAGGCAGCGAUCAGUAGCUGGUCUGAGAGGAUGACCAGCCACACUGGGACUGAGACACGGCCCAGACGCCUACGGGAGGCAGCAGUGGGGAAUUUUCCGCAAUGGGCGAAAGCCUGACGGAGCAAUACCGCGUGAGGGAAGAAGGCUCUUGGGUUGUAAACCUCUUUUCUUAGGGAAGAACAAAAUGACGGUACCUAAGGAAUAAGCAUCGGCUAACUCCGUG
RNAcentral lists this ribosomal RNA (435 nucleotides) under uncultured bacterium. RNAcentral's name for it is "partial 16S ribosomal RNA". It matches the Rfam family "Bacterial small subunit ribosomal RNA", at positions 28 to 507 of the family's 1533-position model. The record is from RNAcentral.